RNAcentral lists this transfer RNA (132 nucleotides) under Hypsizygus marmoreus. It matches the Rfam family "tRNA". Rfam says of the family: Transfer RNA (tRNA) molecules are approximately 80 nucleotides in length. Lineage: Eukaryota; Fungi; Basidiomycota; Agaricomycetes; Agaricales; Lyophyllaceae. The record is from Rfam by way of RNAcentral.
GGUGAGAUGGCCGAGCGGUCUAAGGCGCCAGACUAAGGACCAGGACAGUAGCUGUCCUAAAUCGCAAUGGGAGUCGAACCCACUGUAGAAAUCUGGUCCUCCGGGGCGUGGGUUCGAAUCCCACUCUCAUCA